This 465-nucleotide ribosomal RNA is filed under the name uncultured bacterium. RNAcentral's name for it is "partial 16S ribosomal RNA". It matches the Rfam family "Bacterial small subunit ribosomal RNA", at positions 339 to 795 of the family's 1533-position model. The record is from RNAcentral.
CUACGGGUGGCUGCAGUGGGGAAUAUUGGACAAUGGGGGAAACCCUGAUCCAGCAAUGCCGCGUGUGUGAAGAAGGCCUGCGGGUUGUAAAGCACUUUCGGUUGGGAGGACUGCUUCUAGCACUAAUAUUGUUGGAAGUUGACGUUACCUUCAGAAGAAGCACCGGCUAACUCCGUGCCAGCAGCCGCGGUAAUACGGAGGGUGCAAGCGUUAAUCGGAAUUACUGGGCGUAAAGCGCGCGUAGGCGGCUAGAUCAGUCGGGUGUGAAAGCCCCGGGCUUAACCUGGGAACUGCAUCCGAUACUGUCUAGAUUGAGUACAGGAGAGGAGAGUGGAAUUCCACAUGUAGCGGUGAAAUGCGUAGAUAUGUGGAGGAACACCAAUGGCGAAGGCAGCUCUCUGGCCUGAUACUGACGCUGUGGUGCGAAAGCGUGGGGAGCAAACAAGAUUAGAUACCCCGGUAGUC